This 587-nucleotide ribosomal RNA is filed under the name uncultured Basidiomycota. RNAcentral describes it as "LSU rRNA". It matches the Rfam family "Eukaryotic large subunit ribosomal RNA", at positions 399 to 970 of the family's 3401-position model. The record is from RNAcentral. Lineage: Eukaryota; Fungi; Basidiomycota.
GUGAAAUUGUUGAAAGGGAAACGCUUGAAGUCAGUCGCGUCGUCCGAGACUCAGCCUCGCCUCGGCUUGGUGUACUUCUCGACCGACGGGUCAGCAUCAAUUUUGCCCCUUGGAUAAUGGCGUGGGAAAUGUGGCACCUUUGCGGGUGCGUUAUAGUCCCUCGUCGCAUGCAAGGGUCGGGAUUGAGGAACUUAGCACGCGCCUUUUGGCGUCGGGGCCUUUGCCCACGAUACGUGCUUAGGAUGUUGGCGUAAUGGCUUUAAACGACCCGUCUUGAAACACGGACCAAGGAGUCUAACAUGCCCGCGAGUGUUCGGGUGGAAAACCCGUGCGCGCAAUGAAAGUGAAAGUUGGGACCUCUGUCGUGGAGGGCACCGACGCCCGGACCAGACCUUCUGUGACGGAUCUGCGGUGGAGCGUGUAUGUUAGGACCCGAAAGAUGGUGAACUAUGCCUGAAUAGGGUGAAGCCAGAGGAAACUCUGGUGGAGGCUCGUAGCGAUUCUGACGUGCAAAUCGAUCGUCAAAUUUGGGUAUAGGGGCGAAAGACUAAUCGAACCAUCUAGUAACUGGUUCCUGCCGAAGUUUC